CCUACGGGAGGCAGCAGUGAGGAAUAUUGGUCAAUGGACGAGAGUCUGAACCAGCCAAGUAGCGUGAAGGAUGACUGCCCUAUGGGUUGUAAACUUCUUUUAUAUGGGAAUAAAAUGUUCCACGUGUGGGAUUUUGUAUGUACCAUAUGAAUAAGGAUCGGCUAACUCCGUGCCAGCAGCCGCGGUAAUACGGAGGAUCCGAGCGUUAUCCGGAUUUAUUGGGUUUAAAGGGAGCGUAGGUGGAUUGUUAAGUCAGUUGUGAAAGUUUGCGGCUCAACCGGAGAAUUGCAUUUGAAACUGGCAGGCUUGAGUACAGUAGAGGUGGGCGGAAUUCGUGGUGUAGCGGUGAAAUGCGUAGAUAUCACGAAGAACUCCGAUUGCGAAGGCAGCUCACUGGACUGCAACUGACACUGAGGCGCGAAAGUGUGGGUAUCAAACAGGAUUAGAUACCCGAGUAGUC
RNAcentral lists this ribosomal RNA (460 nucleotides) under uncultured bacterium. Its description in RNAcentral is "partial 16S ribosomal RNA". It matches the Rfam family "Bacterial small subunit ribosomal RNA", at positions 338 to 795 of the family's 1533-position model. The record is from RNAcentral.